Long non-coding RNA from Gossypium arboreum, 823 nucleotides. RefSeq lists it as uncharacterized. NCBI's taxonomy places the organism in Eukaryota, Viridiplantae, Streptophyta, Magnoliopsida, Malvales, Malvaceae. The transcript has 4 exons. The record is from RefSeq and is a predicted model, not a curated record.
AUCGAGAAGCCUGACCUAUAAAUAUUCGAUUUUUGCCCGCUCUUCACUCUCUAAAUCUUCCUGUAAAAAAAAAAAAAAGCAGUGAAGAGCAGCGAUAAUGGCGAUAAUUUUUUUUUGUUUGGUUUGCUUUGGCCGCAAUCUUAUGCUCUCUAACUGCGAUUUCAGCCAAAGAGAGUGAAUCGAAAGAGUUCGUUUUGACUUUGGAUCACUCUAACUUUACUUGCUUCGUUACUCACCACAAUUUCGUCGUCGUCAAAUUCUACGCUCCUUGGUGUCGGCACAGUCAGAAUCUUGCUCCAGAGUACGAGAAAGCAGCAUCUGUGCUGAGUAACCACCACCCUCCAAUUAUUCUAGCUAAAUUUGAUGCCGAUGAUGAAGCAAACAAAUACUUAGCAAAGCAAUAUAGAAUCCGGGGUUAUCCUACAGUUAAAAUUUUCAGAAAUGGAGGACAGAUGAUUCAAGAAUACAGAGACUCACGCCGAGCUAAUUAUAUUGUGGAGUAUUUGAAGGAACAAAUUAGUACUGCUUCUGUUGAAAUCAAGUCUGCUGAAGAUGCCAGUGGUAUAAUUUCUCAAAAUAAGAUAACAAUUGAUUUUACUGUGGAAGCUAUAGAAAAGUUUUUUGGAGAAGCAUUAGGACUUUAAUGGUUUAAUGUGGACAUGGCUUUAAGUAAUAUCCGAUCCGGGUAAGUUAAAUCAAGCCAGGAUAUUUGUAGCUCAUUAUAAUGUCUCUUACGCCAAUUUUUUUAUGUUCUUGCUGGUUGCUUUGAAUUGAUUUUUACGCUGUAAUUAAGUUGAAUAAUUUAAUAAUUUGUUUUGAGCAA